AAGAGUUCAUAUCGACGGCGGUGUUUGGCACCUCGAUGUCGGCUCAUCACAUCCUGGGGCUGAAGUAGGUCCCAAGGGUAUGGCUGUUCGCCAUUUAAAAGUGGUACGCGAGCUGGGUUUAGAACGUCGUGAGACAGUUCGGUCCCUAUCUGCCGUGGGCGCUGGAGAAUUGAGGGGGGCUGCUCCUAGUACGAGAGGACCGGAGUGGACGCAUCACUGGUGUUCGGGUUGUCAUGCCAAUGGCACUGCCCGGUAGCUAAAUGCGGAAGAGA
RNAcentral lists this ribosomal RNA (272 nucleotides) under Klebsiella pneumoniae. Its description in RNAcentral is "partial 23S ribosomal RNA". It matches the Rfam family "Bacterial large subunit ribosomal RNA", at positions 2494 to 2764 of the family's 2925-position model. Lineage: Bacteria; Pseudomonadati; Pseudomonadota; Gammaproteobacteria; Enterobacterales; Enterobacteriaceae. The record is from RNAcentral.